This 466-nucleotide ribosomal RNA is filed under the name uncultured Veillonellaceae bacterium. RNAcentral describes it as "bacterial SSU rRNA". It matches the Rfam family "Bacterial small subunit ribosomal RNA", at positions 338 to 795 of the family's 1533-position model. Lineage: Bacteria; Bacillati; Bacillota; Negativicutes; Veillonellales; Veillonellaceae. The record is from RNAcentral.
CCUACGGGAGGCAGCAGUGGGGAAUCUUCCGCAAUGGGCGAAAGCCUGACGGAGCAACGCCGCGUGAGUGAAGACGGCCUUCGGGUUGUAAAGCUCUGUUAUACGGGACGAAUAGUCUUGUGGUUAAUACCCAUGAGAAGUGACGGUACCGUAAGAGAAAGCCACGGCUAACUACGUGCCAGCAGCCGCGGUAAUACGUAGGUGGCAAGCGUUGUCCGGAAUUAUUGGGCGUAAAGGGCGCGCAGGCGGCUUCUUAAGUCUGUCUUAAAAGUGCGGGGCUUAACCCCGUGAUGGGAUGGAAACUGGGAAGCUCAGAGUAUCGGAGAGGAAAGCGGAAUUCCUAGUGUAGCGGUGAAAUGCGUAGAUAUUAGGAGGAACACCAGUGGCGAAAGCGGCUUUCUGGACGAAAACUGACGCUGAGGCGCGAAAGCCAGGGGAGCGAACGGGAUUAGAUACCCUGGUAGUC